GAAAAGUGCUCUUUAAUUAAAAGGAAGCGAAAGACAACAGGAAAGACAGAAGAGAGAGCAAUAAUGACAACAAGCACCAUUAAGAAACGCAAUACAAUAGAGACUGUAUGUAAAACAAGAAGCUGAACACUUUGUUGAUUUGUGAUGUUAAAUAUAGGUCAAAGUAGUUUGUAAAAGCUGGAACACUUCUUUAUUUUACUUUGAAAAUACCCAAGCACCACUGUUUCACAUCAUUUUCUUUAAAAAGCUAAUAAGAGCACUGAGCAGCAACAAUUAUUUUGAUCAGGUACAUUUUAAAUCAAAGCCUGAUUAAUUAUUCCAGUCCUAACAUUUCCCAAAUUGUGAUCAGAAUUUCCCGAGGGAAUAAAACGAACAUUUUUUAAUAUUUACAAAGAUGCAGCAAAUGAGGUAAAUUAUAGCUGCUAUUUCUUUAAUUUUUUUUUUUUUCCAAUCUUUGUUGUUUCUCUCCAUGGGGAGGAAUUUUGGUUGGCUGAUCUGUCACUCAGCAGUCAGUCAAUCCUCACGGAGAUAGCUUAAACUGCUGUUUGAAGUAACACUAUGAGGCUUUUUUAAUGGAGACCUCAGUGCUUCCCAGAAGACAAAGCUGACUGACUGGGUCAUCUCCUGAAUUUUGAAUGAAAUCUUUCAACAAAUAUAUUCUACAGAUCUGGUGCACUCAUACCUCUUCUAUGUCUUCGGUGAGCUCCUAUCUUCCCAGGGCAAAUUUCAUAUUUUUACCAUCAUAGUUUAGAUUUAUGUUUUCCAAACAACAUAAAGAAAAUAUCUUAGGACAUUCCCAUUGAUCUCAGCUGGGUCUAAACAGAAGAUUACACAAAAUAUCAACAUUAACAAGAUCUAAACAUCUAAAUGGUGAUGCAGCUGUGAAUAUUUAGCUUUCAGAUAUUUGGUCGGGGUGGGUGUGGCUCAUGAGGAAGAUCAGGUCAUCCACUGAUAGUAAAGUUGGUCAUUCAGUCUCUGCUAGCAUGCCAAGUAUCCUUGGAAAAGACACAGUACUAAACUGAAUUGUUCCUGGUGAAUUCAUUAGAGUGUUAAAGUUAGGUAGAAAGCACUUAAAUGUAGAAAAGCAUGCUUGUAUGGAAGUGUGCCAAUGGCUG
Astatotilapia calliptera (eastern happy) is the source of this 1115-nucleotide long non-coding RNA. Lineage: Eukaryota; Metazoa; Chordata; Actinopteri; Cichliformes; Cichlidae. The record is from Ensembl.